Python bivittatus (Burmese python) is the source of this 207-nucleotide non-coding RNA. Lineage: Eukaryota; Metazoa; Chordata; Lepidosauria; Squamata; Pythonidae. The record is from RefSeq and is a predicted model, not a curated record.
AAUGUUUCCACAGCAACUGGAGGCCCCUUUCUUUUAAUCUUGUGCAGACGAGACGGGAUGAGGUGUAAUUCCCCGAGACUCGAGCUCUGAAGCGGGGGGUCCCGGAUUCUCGGAAAACUUCUGAGGUUGCCCGGACGAAAAUGAGAUGCUGAGUCUAUGGACAUAGAUAGGUUGGGAACUAGUGAAAGAAUCCAUGGCAGAAGUACU